This 294-nucleotide ribosomal RNA is filed under the name uncultured bacterium. RNAcentral describes it as "partial 16S ribosomal RNA". It matches the Rfam family "Bacterial small subunit ribosomal RNA", at positions 775 to 1067 of the family's 1533-position model. The record is from RNAcentral.
GGAUUAGAUACCCUGGUAGUCCACACCGUAAACGCUGUCUACUAGCUGUUUGGACUUUCAUUAGACUGAGUAGCGAAGCUAACGCGCUAAGUAGACCGCCUGGGGAGUACGGCCGCAAGGUUAAAACUCAAAUGAAUUGACGGGGGCCCGCACAAGCGGUGGAGCAUGUGGUUUAAUUCGAUGCAACGCGAAGAACCUUACCUACACUUGACAUGCAGAGAAGUUAGCAGAGAUGCUUUCGUGCCUUCGGGAACUCUGACACAGGUGCUGCAUGGCUGUCGUCAGCUCGUGCCG